This 254-nucleotide ribosomal RNA is filed under the name uncultured bacterium. Its description in RNAcentral is "partial 16S ribosomal RNA". It matches the Rfam family "Bacterial small subunit ribosomal RNA", at positions 524 to 776 of the family's 1533-position model. The record is from RNAcentral.
UACGGGGGGAGCAAGCGUUGUUCGGAUUUACUGGGCGUAAAGGGCGCGUAGGCGGCCACCGCAAGUCAGUUGUGAAAUCUCUGGGCUUAACCCAGAAAGGUCAACUGAUACUGCGGGGCUAGAGUGCAGAAGGGGCAACUGGAAUUCUCGGUGUAGCGGUGAAAUGCGUAGAUAUCGAGAGGAACACCUGCGGCGAAGGCGGGUUGCUGGGCUGACACUGACGCUGAAGCGCGAAAGCCAGGGGAGCAAACGGG